UGCCAUCAUAAUCGUUGCUGUAACCCCGGCCUAUUUAAAAAUCUCCCAACUUACAAUGCCAUUAAAUGGCAUAAAGUUCAGAAAUGAAAAGCUUUAAUCUUCUUGGACUAAUAAAUGUAGAGAAACGUGUAAAAUGCACAGCAGAACUGUUUUCAAUGCUGCACUUCAGAAUACAGGACAAUGUUUGAACUAUUCAGCGGCUGUAAACUUAAAUCUUAAGGCAACAAGCCUUUCAAUCGAAUGGCUCAUAUCAAAUGGCCCUUGGAAGGACAGUCCCAUGAUUCCUUAUUCAUCUUGAUGACUCAUCUGACAUAUCAGCAACUCUUCCAGUCUUCCUGCUAGGAUACUAGUCAUUCCAAGGUCAUCAUCUGACUCAAUGAUGAUAAUUUGUUAAUCGACAAUAGGUCGAACAACUAAUUCAUUCUAAGUUCAAACAAACUCUUUGCUCCGUCUGGUACUCAGAUUUCAGUUUACUCCGAUCUGCAACUGCAUACAUGUCAAUAUACACAUGAAGGAGAUAAACCUCUACUUGUUUAAGACUAAUCGUCUCUCUCUCUCUCUCUAUAUAUAUAUAUAUAUAUAAUUUUGAUCUGCUGUACCGCGGCCCGUCGCGCACUGUAUCAGCCAUAUAGGGGCCAACUGUGCGUAAUACCUUAGUCCUCCCAAGCCCCAGCCAAGCUGUUCAUGUUCACUUUCUCAAGGCUGCCAGUUUUAUGAGAGGAUUGGAAUUUUAGUCUAAACAAAAGCAGAAGGACUAUACUUGCCAUACUUACCCAAACGACGAAGCCAAUAGAAAUGCGAUAACAGGAACCAUGUUAAGGAAUGCACGUAAGAAUGUAGCCGAGGCAACAAGUAUUGUGUCAUUGUUAGCCCUCAAAUGGAUCAACAUUUUUCAUUUAUCAUCAGCGAUCAUAACCAUUUAAAAUGAACAAAUUAAUCGGGGGAACCCCAAUAAUUGUGGAUGUUAGUACUAACCAAAUUAUGUAAGUAAAAUAAUUUUGGUGAUUUUAAUUAUUUCAUUUGCGAAUUUAUAGGAGAGAGAAAAGAAGAAAGAGAAUUAAACAUUAAAGAGAGGAGAGAGAAAAAUAUUAAUGAAAUUAAUGACGUGUCGUUUAAUUUUGACCCUUCAUUUUAAUCUAAUCUAAUGGUUGAAAAAUUAUUUUUAAACUUGUAUUUAAAAGUAUGUCUGUUAAACAUACCUCAUAUAUAGUCAUUUUUUAAUAAAGGCAUCACACUUUGUUAAAGUGAAAAUGUCACUAACAAAUGAAAAAGACACAAAUUUAAUAUACGGUGUAUAUAUAUAUAUAUAUUAUUUUCUUUUUAAUUGUGGGUCUUUAGUCUCAAUGGGUAGGUGGGUACAGUCAAUAUGUAUAUUAUUCUACGGUAUUUUCAUUUUUAAAAACUGAAUUUUUAAUAUAGUUUUAAUAAAAUUUUAAAUACUGUUUUAAAAACUGUAUUUUCAUUUUUAAACACUGUUUUAACAAUAUUAUAAACUGAUUUUUCAAUUAUAAUUUACAACGUUAUACAAUCCUGAAUAUAUAAUUAAAAAAUAAAAAUACCUGAGAAUAAUAUACAUAUUGACGGUACUCGCCUACCCAUUCAGACCAAGGACCCACAAUUAAAAAUAAAAUAAAAAAUAAAAAUAGUAAUAUUUCUCUUAUCGUUUUCAUAUGGAAACGUACCAUCUUUUGUGCAUUAAUGUUAAAAUGUGUUUUUUUUUUACUUUUACAAGAUAUGCCAUAUGGGGGGAUUCUUUAAUACUCUACCUGCUAACUUGGAUGACUGAAUAGAUAAAUAAAAACCAUUUAAGCCCAAAAGAUUUUUGUAAGUUGGGAAACACUAUUACCACCUUGCCUGUUGGUUCGUUGAGAUCUAAGGAAAUACAUCGAACAAGUAUAUGAAAAAUCACAUGCUCCUUUUGGUUAAUAACAUUCAGUCAAGGAACUGAAAAGCCCAGAAAGAAGUGUUUGCUUCUGGAGGAGAACGCUAACGAUAGUUGAUUGGCAUGUUUGUUUACUGCAGAUUCCAAAUAUACCUUCGUGCUUCUCAAGGUAUCAUCACCACCUUCGACUAAAAAACAUAACAGUAGUAGUGGGAUCUAAAUGUUGUUUCCUCUUUUUUUUUUUUUUUUCUUUCAAAAUCCGUUCUGUGCGAUCUGAAAUCUUUUGAGAUUUUACGUUCAGACAUUUAUAUUACAGGCAGCACAGAGGUCUACUUAAUAUGUACGGAGAAAUUCAUCUUUAUUUAAAGAAAAUAAACCCUAUGAAGAUCAAACUCAUUCUCUAAAUAUAUGUCAAAUAUAUGAGGCCAUGAUUAUCUUGGAGCUGUUCUAAGAUAGAGCAUGAAUCAUAGUCAAACACGCAGAGUGAUAGAUACUAAAAUAUACGUUAUAACUUUAAUUAUAUGGUUACGAAUGGGUGCUCUACCUUAGAGCAGUUCUAAGAUAAUUGGACUCAAUAUAUGAAUACCGUUGGGUUACAUGUCCAAAUAAAAACUUAUGCUUUAUAUUUAAUGACGGAGUCACAUAGGGAGCAACGAGGACAAUCUGAUUCUGAAACUUUUUUUUUUAUUUCAACUAAAAAUUUAUUUUUCCCCUAAUAAAAAAUUUAAUUUGGCCCCCUAACUUUAAAUAAUACGAAGAAAAGGUUAAAAUUUAUAUUUUCAUUCCCAAAUCAUUUUAGAUGAGUAUGUUGAAUCUAAAAUAAAAUAAAAACACUUGGAAAAAAAAUCAAAUUCCUUUUAUAAUAUUAAAUUCCUACAUUCCUCAAAGUAAACUCCACAUCAAAUGGUUAAGAUUUAAAAACUCAGCAUUUGUUUUCUUGUUUUAUUCUGAACUCGGCAUCACCCCCACUAAUGACAGAUUAUUUACUAAUACAAUUAGUCUUUCUAUUUACUAAUAUUUAAUCCUUAAAAAAAAACCAUUUGAUUACAGUUGUUAUUAUAAUAAAAUAAUUCUAAAGCCUCAAAUUAAUUAUUAUUCAAUUAACAGCAUUAACUUCCUACAUUCCACCGAGUAGGCUCCCCAUCUAAUGGAUAAGACUUGAGAUUUAAAAACUCAGCAUUUAUUUUUUUUUGGCUUUAUUUUUUUUUCAAGAUAACAACUUGGCAUCAACCCUACUAUAAUGACAUUUUGCUAGCGCUUAAUCUUUUAAGUUUCUAAUAUUUAAUCCUUUCAAAGGAAAACACCUUUUAAUUAAAGUGGGGCACUGAUCAAUUCGAUAUGGUUCAGUUCUGAAUAGAACCAAAAUGAUCAAUUUUUAUUUAAAUUCAAAUAUAUAAACGAAACUAAACUGAGCCAUACCGAAGUGAUUUGGUUCUCAGUUUAGUUCGUUUUUCUUUUAUUUUAAAACCAUAAAAUUCUUUGUGUUUUGUGAUUUUUUUUUAUUUUCAUUUUUUAAUGAACCGAUCAAUCUUUGUUAAUUUCUUAAAUCGAACUGAAUUACUAGUUUGAUUCGAUUUUUUUUUUUUUUGUAAAAACUGAUUUUUUUCCCACCCCUAUUUUUUUAUUACCAUUAUUAUAAUAAUAUUCUGUGGCCACAAAUUAAUUAUUAUUUAAAGGAAUCCCUAAGUUACAUAUAAUGUAUCUUACAAUUUUUGUUUUAUUCUUCUUGGCUAAUUUCAUAUGGAUCCUUUUAAUUUUACCUAUUUCUAAAUUUUAUAGUUAUGGAUGCAUUUGUCUUCUUCCAUCUCUUAUACAUCUAUUUUUUACUCUUUCUAGAGUUUUAUUUAUUUCUUUAAGUAAUAAUAAAUGAUUAUCAAAUUCGUAUAAGUCCAUAAAUUCGGAAUAAAUGUUUGGUCCUAAAUUUAUCAAUCCUAUCAUUUCAUCCUCUAACAAAUCUAUUUUCUGGUUUAUCAAAUUUAUAUAUGCAUUUACUGUAUUUUCCCAUCCUAAGAGUAAAUUAUCUAUACAACUUGCCAGUCCUUGUAUUGUAUUAACAGCCUGCUGAUUCAUAAUGUUUAUGUUUUAUACCAAUAUAUUAAAAAGUUUAUAAGUUUAUCUAUAAAUUUCAUUUUCUUUUCUAUUAAAAUUUCACCACCUGUUGUGUCUAUAAAUCUUUCUCUAAGUUCCUCGGUUAAUUCAAGUUCUAUAUUUCUUAUAUUAUUUUUAUCAGUUUUUAAUGCUUUUAUCAAAUUUUUUAUUUCUUCUUUAUUAUAUACCUUUAGUGUAUAUAAACUGUUAACUAUUCCUUGUAUAGGAUCCAUGUUUUAUCUUUAGUGUACUGGCUCUGAUACCAUUUUCGGGUGUACCGUGUAUAAAAAACAAAACAAACAAAAUUACAGGUUUAUAACAAAUUCUCAACAAAACACAGAUAUAUUAUACUUUAUUUACAAUAAAAUUCAAUGCUUAAAAUUAAAUUAAGAGUGCAGUACAAAUUUUAUUAUUAAUUUAACAAACUAAUAUAUAUAUGAUUAACAGAUCUGUGUAUAUCCAGUAUGUCUUAUGAAUAUGUUUUUAUGUACUUUAAUUUUUUAUGGAAAAGUACGUGGCGUUGUUUUACCUCUAGGUACAACUAUCAAAAGUAGCACUUUGGACCAGUAGCCCGCAACCCGAAGAGGUUUUCAGCCGAUAUACUUUUCAUACUUCUGAGGUUAUAUUUCAAAUUCUCCGUUAUCUGAAUCAUAGAUAUAUGAAGGUUCAGCUUUAUAAAUUUUUUGCUCUAAAUAGGCUUUUGCUAUAUCUAGUCCUUCUUCUAUUGUUAACAUAAUUAUAUUAUGUUUUAAGUUAUCUAUUUCAAUAUCGUUUAUAAUUUUUCUUUUUAUUUCAUGGGGUAAUUUAAGUGAAUCUACUGCUAGUAAGUCUUCUGUCCUAACAAGUUCUUGUUUACUAAACAAAUACGAGCUCUGUUUAAAUGAUCCAAAAUUAAAAUCUAUUAUCAUCAUGUAUUCAUUAUAUGUUAUUUUUGUAGUUGGAUUUAUCAUAUAUUUUUUAGAUUCUCCUAAAUAAAAUCUGUGAUUCAUGUUAUAAAUUAAAAGUUUGUUCCAUGAUUAAGAAUUUGCUUUUCCUCCAUAAAUCAUUCCAUCAACAACCUCCACCAAGAGAUAAAAGUUGAGUAUUAUUACCUAAAAUAUCUUUCCUUCUUUCUCUUCUGAUCUCCUUCCAGUGACCUUCAGCCUGGUUGUCCUGUUCCCUCAACGGCCUCCUGCCUCAACGAGAUCUGUGGACUCAGAUGGCUUUACUGUGUGGAUUUUGAUCGUUUUAGUAAAGAAGUAUUAGAUAGAUUUAGGUUUCUCUUCUUUUUCUCUGAUGAUGUUUGUUUUUUGAUCGAUGAUGUUCUGAUUUAGGAGUUUGAGCAAUAGGUGUUUAGAGAUUCAUUAUUGAGAGAGUUUUUGAAUUAUGUGGAAUGUUUGCGAGAUCGGUC
RNAcentral lists this long non-coding RNA (5360 nucleotides) under Citrus sinensis (sweet orange). RNAcentral's name for it is "long non-coding RNA (CSIN_LNC001839)". Lineage: Eukaryota; Viridiplantae; Streptophyta; Magnoliopsida; Sapindales; Rutaceae. The record is from RNAcentral.